CGUAGCCUUAUUUCCCUCAAAUUCGCAAACCUAACAUCUCCACCUUCAAGUUCGAUGUUCCAAGCUUUUCACCUGAUCCUUACGACCUGCCAUAGCAUGUUUAUGCAACCCAAUUUCGAUCAAAGCUCCUUAAUUUCUAAAACCUAACCUUAAAACCCUAACUUUAAGGUGUAAACCCAAAUCGAAGAUGGAGGCUGCGUAAGCACCCAUCAAGGGCUGAAAUCAUUCAAGUACAUCCACCCCAUGCAAUUCGAUCCCAAGUUCUUCAAUUCGAAUCAUGAACUCCGUAAAGCUAAAUUUGGGGCUUUUAUAGCUCGGAUCCAAAUUGGUCCAAAUCAAAGGGCACAAUUUGGGCACGAAUUGGGCAAAACAUAGAUCAAAACCUUCAAAGUUCAAAUUGAAGUGGGAAUGAGGUUUCUGGCGAUGUUUUCUCGUUUUUGCUCUUAAGUUAUGGAGACAUUACCUGUAUGGCACCAAGUGUGUGACCAUGAGAGCCUAAAAUACAUAUUUAAUGUAUUAAAUUUUAUUAAACCCUAUUUUUAUGGUUUCCUAGGGUGUGUAUUUUGUUCACCAGAGGAAACCAAGACUGACUAAUAGUUUAUUUCCCCUUUAGGGGUUAUAAAUACAAAUGUUCCUCGUUUCUUUUUGUUUCCUAGGGUGUGUAUUAUGUUCACCCGAGGAAACCAAGAUGAACAACCGUGUCAAAACAGUAAAUAUACCAGGUGCUGCUGAUAAACCUUAAACCUCUCCUUCCCAAACCUUAAAUCAGUUCAUCCUCAAAUGAACCCUAGUUUUAGCGAAAUCAAAGUUCCUUUGGUCGCUAGAAUCCCUUUGGUAACGAAGAUCGCUCUGGAAGGAUUAUUACGCCAAGCUUCUUUGUCCCUUGUGUGUGGGAAUGGAAUUCUAAUCGGGAAUGUAAGCAGAAAUUUUGGUCGUCCUUAUUAUAAAUGCCCAGGGGUUCUGAUAAGGAAAAUGGAAUCCCUUCUACUCAUUUGCGGAUGAACUUAAGCAGUGUCCCUGCGGGCGUGGCUAUUGCCGCACCGUGUUUCCUAAGGGAAUAAAACAUUGGUGCUGUUGUGUUAGAAGGGCUUUCAUAUUCAAGUAUGUUUGUUUAUAGAGUUGUAUUAAGUUCAUGUGUGCAUGGGCAGGGAGAUGGUGCCUGCAGUUUCUUUGCGAGAAUCGAGUCCACCUUCGAGUUCCACUCCCCCGCCACAUUGUCAGUCUCCUUCCAAGCCGAGCCCCGACUCGAUUUCAGUCUUCCUUCCUGGUCUCCUUCCAGUAGCCAAGAAGCACAUGUGCUAAAGAAGAAAAAUGAGUUACUUUUCCAAAACACUAUGCAAGGGUUAAAGGUUUUGGAAGCCAAAUUGGAUUUGUUGGCACGACCUCAGGAUCCUUCUCAAUCAACUGCAGCAAUUCGUGAGCUUAUAGCUUCAAUUGAUGAAAUUACUGUUGAUGAUUAAUGACCUCUUUGUUCAGUACACUUUGAACUUUUUUUACUAGUUUUUUUAUGUUAUCAUUUAUAUUUUCUUUAUU
RNA transcript from Helianthus annuus (common sunflower), 1533 nucleotides. RefSeq lists it as uncharacterized. The transcript has 7 exons. The record is from RefSeq and is a predicted model, not a curated record. NCBI's taxonomy places the organism in Eukaryota, Viridiplantae, Streptophyta, Magnoliopsida, Asterales, Asteraceae.